GGUGAACGCUGGCGGCGUGCCUAACACAUGCAAGUCGAACGGACAUUGAAUGAAACCUAGUGAUUUUAAUGUUAGUGGCGGACGGGUGAGUAACGCGUGGGAAACCUGCCCUGUACCGGGGGAUAACACUUAGAAAUAGGUGCUAAUACCGCAUAAGCGCACGGUUCCGCAUGGAACAGUGUGAAAAACUCCGGUGGUACAGGAUGGUCCCGCGUCUGAUUAGCUAGUUGGUAAGGUAACGGCUUACCAAGGCGACGAUCGGUAGCCGGACUGAGAGGUUGAACGGCCACAUUGGGACUGAGACACGGCCCAG
RNAcentral lists this ribosomal RNA (313 nucleotides) under uncultured bacterium. RNAcentral's name for it is "bacterial SSU rRNA". It matches the Rfam family "Bacterial small subunit ribosomal RNA", at positions 28 to 334 of the family's 1533-position model. The record is from RNAcentral.